AGUGAACGCUGGCGGUAGGCCUAACACAUGCAAGUCGAACGGCAGCACAGUAAGAGCUUGCUCUUACGGGUGGCGAGUGGCGGACGGGUGAGGAAUACAUCGGAAUCUACUUUUUCGUGGGGGAUAACGUAGGGAAACUUACGCUAAUACCGCAUACGACCUACGGGUGAAAGCAGGGGAUCUUCGGACCUUGCGCGAUUGAAUGAGCCGAUGUCGGAUUAGCUAGUUGGCGGGGUAAAGGCCCACCAAGGCGACGAUCCGUAGCUGGUCUGAGUGGAUGAACAGCCACACUGGAACUGAGACACGGUCCAGACUCCUACGGGAGGCAGCAGUGGGGAAUAUUGGACAAUGGGCGCAAGCCUGAUCCAGCCAUACCGCGUGGAUGAAGAAGGCCUUCGGGUUGUAAAGCCCUUUUGUUGGGAAAGAAAAGCAGCAGGUUAAUACCCCGCUGUUCUGACGGUACCCAAAGAAUAAGCACCGGCCAACUUCGUG
This 492-nucleotide ribosomal RNA is filed under the name uncultured bacterium. Its description in RNAcentral is "partial 16S ribosomal RNA". It matches the Rfam family "Bacterial small subunit ribosomal RNA", at positions 29 to 507 of the family's 1533-position model. The record is from RNAcentral.